UAAUUUUAAACCUUAAUUAAACUUUAACUUUAAUAAAUCCUUA
RNAcentral lists this transfer RNA (43 nucleotides) under Mecaphesa sp. West Maui. RNAcentral describes it as "tRNA-Leu". Lineage: Eukaryota; Metazoa; Arthropoda; Arachnida; Araneae; Thomisidae. The record is from RNAcentral.